This 5311-nucleotide long non-coding RNA is filed under the name Sus scrofa (pig). Its description in RNAcentral is "lncRNA (ENSSSCG00000058834.1)". The record is from RNAcentral. Lineage: Eukaryota; Metazoa; Chordata; Mammalia; Artiodactyla; Suidae.
UAUAAGAAUCUUGUUUUUAUUCAUUCAGCUAUACCAUGUCUUUCAGUUGGAGCAUUUACAUUUAAAGCAAUUAUUGGUAGGUAUGUAUUUAUUGACAUUUUAAAAGUUAUUUUAUCAAUGCUUUGUAGUUCUUCUCUGUUCCUCUCUUCUUCUCUUGCUCUCUUCCACUGCACUAAGCGCUUUAAAUGUGUUACCUUAUUUCAUCCUCCCAGGUACCACCAUCCUGAUAGUUUCCUUUUUCUACUUAGAAGACCAGGAAUUUAGGCUCAGGAUCAUCUUAUCCCAAAGAUUCUAGGAAUAGAAGUAAAGGAAUUGAUUUCUUAAAUCUAAUAAAAAUUCCAACAAACUGUAACAUUUAAGAAAGGAAAGCAGGAACAAUUUCACAAGCCAAACACUUUAGGGGAACUGAAUUUGUUGUUGAAUUUAAGGAAAGAAUUGUCUUACCAUUAGUACCAUAAGCAAUAGUUGUAGUAAAUACUUUUGAGAAAAAUGAUAAUGGAAACUUGUAAACUAAAUAUUUUGGAGAUAGCUCAGAUGGAGAUUAAGGCAUGGGGUUAUUUCUCCUUUCCCUUUUUAGAGGUCCCCAGGGAGAGUUAUUUUCUGACUAGCCCCUGGAUGGGGUUGGAAGGCGAAUCACUGAUGUAUAGUAAGACCAGCCAGGCUUGCAGUAGCAAUAGCAGAAAAGCAUUACUAGAAUCUUCUUUAGGAUGCAGAAGGUGAGACUUGUCCAGCCUCUCCCCACCCCCACCACUCCAUACAAUUUUUUAUUAAAGUAUAGUUGAUUUGCAAUGUUCUGUCAAUUUCUGCUGUAUAACAAAGUGACCCAGUCAUUCAUAUAUAUACAUUCUUUUUCUCAUACCAUCUUCCAUCAUGUUCUAUCACAAGCAAUUUGAUAUAGUUUCCUGUGUUGUACUGUAGGACUUCAUUGCUUAUCCAUCCUAAAGGUAAUAGUUUGCUUCUACUAACCCCAAACUCCCAGUCUAUCCCACUCCCUCCCCCUCCCCAUUGAUGACCACAAGUUUGUUCUCUAUAUCUGUGAGUCUGCUUCUGUUUUGUAGCUAGGUUCAUUUGUGUCAUAUUAGACACCACACAUAAAUGAUAUCAUAUGGUAUUUGUCUUUUUCUUUCUGACUUACUUUACUUAGUAUGAGAAUCUCUCUAGUUGCAUCCAUGUUGCUGCAAAAGGCAUUAUGUUGUUCUUUUUUAUGGCUGAGUAGUAUUCCAUUGUGUAUACGUACCAUAUCUUCUUAAUCCAUUCAUCCAUUGAUGGACAUUUAGGUUGUUUCCAUGUUUUGGCUAUUGUGAAUAGUGCUGCUAUGAGUUUUGAAUUGUAGUUUUGUCUGGAUAAGUGCCCAGGAGUGAUAUUGCUGGAUCAUAUGGUAGUUCUAUAUUGAGUUUCCUGAGGAAUCUCCAUACUGUUUUCCAUAGUGGUUGUACCAACAUACCCACCAACAAUGUAAGAGGGUUCCCUUUACCCCACACCCUCUCCAACAUUUUCUAUUUUUAGACUUAUUAAUGAUAGCCAUUCUGACCAGUGUGAGGGGGUACCUCGUUGUAGUUUUGAUUUACAUUUCUCUAAUAAUUAGCAGUGUUGAAUAUUUUUUUUUCAUGUGUAUGAUGGCCAUCUGUAUAUUUUCUUUGGAGAAAUGUCUAUUUAGCUCUUCUGCCCAUUUUUUCAAUUGGGUUGUUUGGGUUUUUUGCUGUUGAUUUGUAUGAGUUGUUCACUUUACUCUUCUAUGCUGAGUAACAGAAAUAUUACUCCAACAUUUUCCAGAUGUCAUUCCCUCUGCCCGGGGAAGUCACCUCAACUUCUGUCUCAAGCAUCACAAAGAGUGUCCUCUGGCAGGUUUGCCCUCCCUCCUUGAACAUGACUUCUCUUGUUCCUUUUCUACUCUCCAACUCUACAUCUGCCUCUUCAGGGCAGCUGCCUCGAUGUAUUGGAAUCCUUGGUCUGCACGUUUAUUUCUCACUAGUGGUUGAACCUUCUGAGUGUACGCACUCUUUUCAGCUUGGAGUGCCCACGGCAUUAAGAAGUCAUUUUGCAUGUUUUUGGGAUGAAUGACACACAUUCAAACAUGCUCUCAGGUCUAUAGACCCAUGUUUAAGCAAUAAAAUAAAAGACGCAAUGGCAAAAAUAUUACCCUUAGUGACCUGAUUUUUCAACUAGAGUAUAGAAUUCUAAAAUGCUAAUAAAACUUUGCAUUUCAGGGCUUAGGUUUCCUCAUCUAUAAAACAUGAGGGUUAAAAGAUAAUCCUAUCUACACACCAGAAACAGAUCAUGGAGACUUGUGGUUGCUGGCAGGGGCAGGGAAGGGAGUUUGGGGUCAUGAGGUUGGAGGAUACAAACUAUUACAUUGGGACUGGAUGGGCCAUGGGGUCCUACUGAACAGCACAGCACAGGGAACUGUGUGUGUUGCUGUACAACAGGCCUUGAGGAAACAUUGUAAAUCAACUAUACUUUAAUAAAAAAUAAAUAAAUAAAUUUUUUUUUUAAAAAUAAUGAACUCUAGGUGAUGUUGCCAAUAGCUAGAAAUAGCUGGAGCCAGGGGUGACCCUCCCAUCACCAUCCAGCCCAGUUUUCCUUAUAUCACGGUUCUUACCAGCAGAGUUCUCCUAGCCUAGCCUCGACUUGGAAGCCAAAAUCUCAGUAAUGUGAAUUUCAGAAAGGCCAUUGAGCCCUAAAUCUCAAUUUCAACAUUUCUUAUUAAUUCUGUUUGAAAUAAAUGAUCACCAGGAACAUUACAAUUCAGAUAUGAAAUAUUGCUACAUAAUUCAUUCUUUCAUUGUUUCCAGAUCAUAUGAUAUUGGAAACAAUGAAAUGAAAACCUUUUUUCUUUCUUCUUUCCUUCCUUCCUUCAUUUCUUCCUUCCUUCCUUUCACAAACUGUGACUGUCUGUGCUCCAAAAUACUCUUGAAGUGUAAGGUGAUAUUGGUGAAUAAAUAUCCACAAUAUCCUGAAUAUAACUUUCAAAUUUUCAAUCUUAUUUCCCAAAGGAAAUAUAUGCAACCUUAAGAAGAGUCAAUAGCUAUGGACAAUCAGAUUCAAUGUGUCAGCUGAGAGGUAAAAGAGUGAAUGAGUUCCACUUACAAAUCUAAUCACAAAGAGCACUAAAAUGCACCGCAAAAGCGAAAUCACUAGAGGCAGAUAGAAUUUCUCUAGGCCUAAUUUUUUCCUGUAAAUGGAAGGAAGAAAAAUGUAACUUCAGCACCUAUCAUAACCAAUUCAAAGGGAAGCUUCCUUCAGCAGCAAAUCAAAGUAUCUUACCCAUUAGAAGCUAUUCUAACUAUCUCAACUUCAGGCAGAUGGGGAGAAUUUGGAUAGUACACAGCUCUUUACGUUGCCCUUUUUGUUACAGUCAAGUACAGUCCAAGAGACUGAUCCCUGCAUGAAUGAGAUAUGUUCCUUUUUUUUUGUCGAAGAGUGCUGCACUUUCAUGAUUUCCCACAAAACAGCUGCAAAAAUACCUACAGUAGGGCAUCUGGAAUUCUUAAAAGUGACUUGAGGAUUUGUGGCUCAUGAAACAUUGUGAAAUAACACUCACCAUGUUGUAAAAAAAUACCCUUAACCAUUUAUUGGCAUUCUUGAAGACAAAAAAUAAAAGGUGCCCUCAGCAUAUUAGCCCAGCUUGAUUAGAAGAAAAUGCUAACGUGAUAAAGAAAUAGUGGAAAUAGAUGCCAGAAACCUAUCUUGAUGUCGUAAACAUUUAAAUCUCUUGGAAAGUUUGUGAAAAACAGUAUGGUAAAGGCCCACAGUGAUGGUCGUAGCUUUAAGUGUUUGAUCAGAUUCUGAGGCAUCAUUAGGAAUAACUUACAUGUUCUGUAAAAAAAAAAAAAAAAAAAAAAAUGUGGUUUCCUGUUGAGACCAAGCACUGUUCCCAGGAAAAAAAAAAAAAAAAAGGAAUUCUCCUAAAGAUGUUUUUCAUUUUUACCUCUCACAAAACAGGACUAUCAAAAAGAAAGCAAUGGCCUUUCCAUGAGAACUUGGGUCAAAUAAACCAUGUAUUGUUCCAUCUUAAAAUGAAACAUCUGGCUGAUUUGAGAAGAAAACCAGCUUAAUUAUUUCUGAGUAUCUAACAGAGAGAGAGGUUAACUUCAAAAUCUAUAUGUCUUUCCAAGGUGGACAUGGAAGGGAAAAAAAAAAAAAACUAUGAAGCUAUUUUUGACUCAGGAAAGUAGAUCUGGAGGUAAUUUAGUGAACACAAAUUACCACUGACAAGGGAAGAAAUAAUUUAUUCUCCUGGUGAGUCUUUUUAUAUGAGUGGGCAGUGUGGAACUGUCAGCAGGGAAAAGCCAUUUGGAUGGAUUUAAAAAAUCAUUGAAACCCAAGUCCAAAAUCCUCUACGACAUCCUGGACAUCAUUUGAAGUUGUGAGACUCUGUAGAGAAGUUUCAUGUCGAAAAUAAAGCAUGAGCGUGAAACUCUGAGAUAUAAAUUUGGGUAGAGGAGAGUUUUUUGUUUUGUUUUGUUUUGUCUUUUGUCUUUUCAGGGCCACACCUGCAGCAUAUGGAGGUUCCCAGGCUAGGAGUGGAAUCAAAUCGGAGCUGUAGCCACUGGACAAUGCCAUAGCCACAGCCACUAUGGGAUCCAAGCCACAUCUGCAAUCUACACCACAGCUCACGGCAACACCAGAUCCUUAACCCACUGAGUGAGGCCAGGGAUUGAACCUGCGUCCUCAUGGAUGCUAGUCAGAUUCCUUUUCACUGAGCCAUGACAGGAACUACUGGAGAAGAGUUUAUAGAUGGGAGAUAAAGCCUUAUGGAUAGCUAGCUUGUGUUUCUUAACAAAUUCAUCUCUUUUAGCCUUACUUUUUUCCCCCUGGGUCCUCAAUCUAAGAGUCUCUACUCACCAGAGUGUUUGUGGAUGUCUCCCUUGCAGUCCUUUCUCAGCUCUGUGGGCUCCUCCUGAUGGCUGUGAACUUGGGUUUACUUCACUGAUGGUCAAUACCAGGCAAAUUCCACUUUGUAGGGUGUUGUCCUUUCUCUGAUGGAACUACUGGACAUGGGUGGUUAGAACAUUGAUUUGACACCGGUCCACAUUUCCCCUCAAUUUCCUGUUUCCUCUUUUCUUCUUGGACAUCACUUAAAACUGACAGUUUGGGAGUUCCCAUUGUGGCUCAGCAGUAGCAAACCCAGAUAGUAUCCAUGAGGACAUGGGUUCAAUCCCUGGCCUCGCUCAAUGGGUUAAGGAUCCGACUUUGCUGUGAGCUAUGGUGUAGGUCGCAGACACAGUUGGGAUCUGGCGUUGCUGUGGCUGUGGUGUAGGCUGGCAGCUGCAGCUCCCAUUUGACCCUUAGCCUGGGAACUUCCAUAUGC